Molecule: long non-coding RNA, 3819 nt
Organism: Pygocentrus nattereri (red-bellied piranha)
Lineage: Eukaryota; Metazoa; Chordata; Actinopteri; Characiformes; Serrasalmidae
Source: Ensembl
GUAACGCUACUCAAGCCCCGGAGGAGCCAUGGUCGCCAGCAGGAUCUGAAAACUUUCUUCUGAGCAGCGCGAUGUCUGCCCUGCUGAUAGCCAGCUUGGCCUUUUUGGUUCUGGGACUUCUGUCCGUCUUAAUUCUCAGAUGGAUUGGCUGCAGGCUGGCCGUGCGCUUCUUCCACACCGUCCUGAACGCUGAGCUGAAGAUCAAGACUGUGGGCCUUUUUUCGCUCAGAGGAAUUAGUGUCCAGUUCUUGCCUCAGCACACACUGGUGAGUGAGUCAUUUUCAGCACUUGCUCACGAAGGGAAGCAGCGUUGAACUUGGAGACUCCGUUUUUGGAGAGGUUUCGUUGUCGGAGUCGUACCCUGUUAUUUCAGAGCAGCUAGACUAGGGAUGCUCCUCCCUGGCCUUUUAUCUACUUUAAGCUGAAGGACAUGGUUGGAGAUGUCACUCUCAGGUUCCUUGGUGAAAUGGAUGUCUGAGGUAAUAUGUGCUUGAAUCACAAUUUAAAUAAAAGGUUUGAAAAAAUAAUUUAUGUAGAAAUGAUUGAAAUAUAGGUGCAGUUACGUGGCUGAGGCGGACAAGUCUCCUCAGGAGAGAGUAGGCCUAUGAGUGGGACCGAAUGAACUCUUGACCUGGAUACAGGGAAUGCAUUGUAGAAGGCACCUGGAGCUUGGAGAGGCCAGCAAAACGGCUUACGUAGUAAAAGACAAGGACAAGUUGAUCCUCAACGAGCAAAGUAAUCUGGUGAGAACCGGCAAAAUCAACAGGUCUUGAGAUAAAUUAAUAAAGUAAGUUUCAGAAUGAUGGCCUUGGCCUGGCACCACCACAAGUUUAGAAAGAAUAGAUCCCAGGCAUGGCUGGAGCAGAACUUUCCAAGGAAAGUGUCAUUAAAUAACGGGAACCAAAAGUGAUUCAAAGUCAUAUAAUUAAUUAAAGGUUGGCGGGUGGGGUGAUGAGCUCAGCCUGAAGACAGGAUAUGAAGAAGAAUGCUUUGUGAUGAUCUUUGCGUCGUGGUUGUCCGGGAGCCGUCCUGAAGCUCAAUAAGCGAAGAGAGGGCCUUUUCCCUCCUUCCAGAAGAACUCCUCGACUGAAGUUUGUUUUUUCUUUUCCUUUUAUUUUUUGCAGAAGGCUUUUUAGUUUUAUGACCUUUUUUUGCGUAAGAGAUCAGAAGAAAUUCAGAGCAAAAAACCUAACUUGGAAUAAAUUAUCUUUAAUAUCACGCGUCCGGACGGGGGGCGAAGGCCGAGCCGCUCUGAGUCUCGACGCUGGAUGCGAGGAAAUAAUGAACAGCUUGACCCAAGCUCUAAUUAUUUUAACAUUGCUUGGGCAUAGAGGCAUCUAUGACUCCAGCAGUAAGUAUUUAGUUGUAACUACAACUUAAUCACAGGUGAGUAAUUACUUUUCAGUGAAUUACAUUGGUGUGACAUUGAACAGGGACAAAUAACAACCAGAUAACAAAUCAGCAAAGAUUAAAUAUUAACAGUAAGACCAUUUAGGGUUGGUUUUCUGGUUAGGGAUUAUACCUAGUCCUAGACUACACUUUCCUGUCAGGGAGGAAUCUCUGUUCGGAAUGCUGUGUAGAGCAGGACUAGGGAUUAACCCUGCCUGGGAAACAAACCCAUAAUUAACUACCCAAUAGUUAUGGAGUACUAUAUAUACACUAUAACUCCAUGAGUCACCCAUUCUAAGGCGUACACAUCACAGAACCCACGUUACACAGAAAUAUGGUUUAUAUUCCAAGUCUUGAAACUGCUUGAUGGUUCUCAUUGAAAAAUUUAAUCACACUGUGGCCUUUCUGGAAGGCUGGAAACAGAAACUUGUUUCCAGGAAUGUAGCAGCAUAUUAAUCUUGUAAAAACUGGGUGCCAAGAUCCGAUGUUCUGAUGAUUUUGUUCUGCUCAAUAUAGUACCUUAAAGUGUAUCAUAGUAAUGCGUUGAAGAGAUUCAAUUUUCCUAGUAAUACCUUGACUUGGUUUCAGAUUUUUGUUAUAUUAAAAAAAAAAUACAUUUUUGUAUCCAACUACUAUUUAUAACCAACUACAUUUACACUUUGGCAUUUUGGCUGAUGCUCUUAUCCAGAGUGACUUACAAUUUGAUCAUUUUACACAGGUAGGUGAAGGUGGUGUUAGGAGUCUUGCCCAAGGACUCUUAUUGGUAUAGUGUAGGGCGGUUACCCAGGCGGGGCACUGAACCCCAGUCUACAGCCUAGAAGGCAGAGGAGUUACCCACUACACUAACCAACCACCAGCUAUCCAAGCAGUCUCUUUCCUUCGUGACAGUAAGUGUUGUUAACAUCUGAAUGCUUAACUAACAUGUUUGCGUUUUUGUCCUGUAGGAAAUAGACAGAAUAUGGAUUUCAAGUAAAUUAGUCAACCAGGACUUACCGUAAGUAUUAAAAUUGGGCAACAUGCCUGAUUUCCUCCAGUGUAUUUUUAAAGCAUAGUAUGUGUACAUAGUGUUCCAGUUCUCUCAUUAGAGACACCCCUGUUUGUGCUAUAGGAGGUACUUGGCACUAUGUGUGGGAGAAACUCUGGUACGGAUUGACCUACAGGAGCCCCUCAAGCAGCAGGUGUCUCAGAACCAUGGGAAGAGCCCACGCAAGCCACCCAUCAGCCCCUCCACACUGCACUUCCUUUCCCAGGUAGGCCUCUGAAAUCAUCGCAGCUUCUGAUUCUGACUUUUAAACUUUCACUCACUUGGUGAAUCUUUCUCCACCCCAGUUGCUCUCACUCCACAUCGGCUCCAUAAACGUGAUGGUGCUGAAUCUGCUGCUGCCCGAGUCUCUCUGGCACAUGACCAGCACAGGAAUCACUCUGAUGCUUGAUCAUCAAAGCAAGAGGUGACUGGUGCAAAAUAAGCCUUUUUCCUUACCAAAUAAAUGCCGUGUUCAGUUUUGGACAUCGUUAAUGACUUUUACUGAGCUGAGAAGUCGCAUAAUUUUCAUGCUUUUCAGGUUAGCCUGGGACUUUUCGGUGGGACAGCUCAGCAGUAAAGUUCUAAAAAGCAGCAGACUGGUUUGUAUGCUCUUGAUGUUUAUGAACACACAUACACAUGGACGUCCAUUUGUGAAUUUUCUUUAGGUCUCCGGGUCACAUAUUAAACCUAGUUCUAGUCUAAAGAGCAUUUAAGGAGGGAUGUACAUUCCAACCAAUUUUGAUACCCAAGUAUCCAUGAGAGUUCACAAUAAAAUAAACAGAAAAAAAAAACUUUGGCUAAAUAUAAUGUAGUGCUGCAGACUUACAUUUUAGGUGACUGCACUGGGAAAAACGCACAAAAAAACAGCCGAGGGAAAUCGAAGCUUUUGCUCUGAAUGUGUAACGGAGGCUAACAGAUGAGCUACGUAGCUAACCAGUGUCAUGGUCAGUGCUGAUGAGGACUCGUCUCCUCCACGAGGUUUCCUUUCACUGAAAUGUUGGCGUGUUUAUUUUAUUAGGUUUCACUUCCUGCAGUGAAACAUAACGAAUACCAGAAAACCGAUUCCAGUGUUUGAAUAUUGGCUCCUCAGUUACCCAAGCACUCAGAUUAAGUGACCCUUAUUAGUCCCAUAACAGGGAAACUUCACCUCCUCAUUUAACCCAUCAGUGAAGUGAAACACCACAUGCACACACUAGGGGGCAGUGAGCGCACUUGCCUGGAGCGGUGGGCAGCCCAAUCCGCAGCGCCCGGGGAGCAGUUGGGGGUUAGGUGUCUUGCUCAAGGACACCUCAGUCAUGUGCUGUCAGCUCUGGGGAUCAAACCGGUGACCUUCCGGUCACGAGGCUGGUUCCCUGACCUCCAGCCCACGACUGCCCCACAAUACCUGUGCAAAUCCCUAAUUUUAC